GGAGAGCGAGAGAGGGAAAAUGGAAGAGUCGAGAAGGAAAGUAACAGUGACGUCACUUGCGUCUCUGUUCCCGGUGGAGGAGGCCCAGAAAGCGGCGAAGCGCGUCGAAGAUGCCAUCGCCGAGAAGCGAAACGAGCUCGACACCCUACGAGGUUUUGUCGGCGACAACAACAACCUCGUUAACCUCGUCCAGAAGCUCCUCGACCACCUCUCUCACGACAUCAUGGUUCCUUUUGGGAAAGCAGCGUUCUUCCCAGGUUGUUUGAUUCACACCAACGAGUUCCUGGUUCUUUUGGGAGAAGGCUAUUAUGCAGAGAGAACGUCCAAACAAGCCGUUGAGAUUCUGCAACGAAGAGGGAAGUCCUUGGAUUCUCAUGUUGAUUCUCUUGAGGCCAUGAUCAAGGACCUUGAGGCAGAGUCUUCGUUUUUCAAUUCCACAGCUUCUGAAGCAGCGUUGGAGCGGAAAUAUAUCCGGAAGGGUUUUGUGGAAAUAAGGGAAGAUUAUGAGGAGGAAGGCUCUAACGAAGGGGAAUCUAAAUCAGGUCCACCGGAGCAAGAUGCUUUUAAUUUUGAGAAUGCUAUAGCUGAUGAUGGGGAAUAUGCUCGUAUAGUGUCUAGAUUGGAUGAACUUGAGAAAGAAGAGCUAGCUGCAGAAAGUGACAAUCAGAGUCAUCAAAAUGAGGAACCUACUGCUGAUUUUGAUGGUAUUUCAUAUCAGAGACCUAUUGAUGACAAUCUCCAAAAUUUAGAAGACUUUCAUGAAUGCGUACCGCUGGACCAGACUAACAGAAACAUUAUAGCAACUGAGUCUCCAAAAAAGAAUAAUCAUCAAGAAGAUAUAGUGGAUCAGUUGAAUUUUGCAAGCCUGGCAAUGGAAUCUAAGGUCAGAGAUGGGAAAAGUUCUCAACAAAAUGUGGAAUCCAUUAUUCCUAUUGAGAAGCUUCCCAUACUUCCUAAACAGAAGACAGUUCAAGCAACUACUGCAUCGAAUAUUGAGGUUCCGCAUCAAACUUCAGAACCAUCAUUCCAUCAUUCGAUAGUAGCAAGGCUUUUACUUUUACAGGCUCCAUCAUAGAGCAUGCUGAGAAUAUUCAAACAACUUCAAGAGAACAAAGAUCAACUUCCUUAGAGGUUUCUGGUUCUCAAUAUUCAAAACCAGUCUCCAGAUUCAAAAUGCAGAGAAGAUAGACAAUAAUAUGAGAAGGUUGUUUGAAGCUUUACUUAUUUGACAAACUAAUGGUGGUGGCAUCCAUGAUGGUUCAAGCAUGUGCUUGUUAGAAUCAAAAGCAGAAAAAGGUAAAAAUAGGAUAAACCGUUGAGUAGUGAAAAUUUAAUGUCCUUUCUUGGUAGAAAGAAAAAGUGGAAGAAAUGAAGAUGGGAUUUCUACCAUUUUUAGACUGAGAUUGUGAUUCAACAGAUGUAGCUAUGUUUUAUAUAGAAUUGUAAUUGAGAUAAUUGAUAAUUAUAGAUGACUUGUAACAUGGAAGAGGUUGUUGAAUUUUCUUUUUCGUUAGUAACACCUCUUGUAAAAUGUGAAGGCAGUGAGAAAUUAAAACAUCUCCAUUAGUCCAUUUUUUC
Molecule: RNA transcript, 1578 nt
Organism: Gastrolobium bilobum
Lineage: Eukaryota; Viridiplantae; Streptophyta; Magnoliopsida; Fabales; Fabaceae
Exons: 12
Source: RefSeq, a predicted model, not a curated record